This 465-nucleotide ribosomal RNA is filed under the name uncultured bacterium. RNAcentral's name for it is "partial 16S ribosomal RNA". It matches the Rfam family "Bacterial small subunit ribosomal RNA", at positions 28 to 507 of the family's 1533-position model. The record is from RNAcentral.
GACGAACGCUGGCGGCGUGCUUAACACAUGCAAGUCGAACGGAAAGGCCCCCUUGUGGGGUACUCGAGUGGCGAACGGGUGAGUAACACGUGAGUAACCUACCCUUGACUUUGGGAUAACUUCAGGAAACUGGGGCUAAUACCGGAUAGGAGCUCCUGCUGCAUGGUGGGGGUUGGAAAGUUUCGGCGGUUGGGGAUGGACUCGCGGCUUAUCAGCUUGUUGGUGGGGUAGUGGCUCACCAAGGCUUUGACGGGUAGCCGGCCUGAGAGGGUGACCGGCCACAUUGGGACUGAGAUACGGCCCAGACUCCUACGGUAGGCAGCAGUGGGGAAUAUUGCACAAUGGGGGGAAGCCUGAUGCAGCAGCGCCGCGUGCGGGAUGACGGCCUUCGGGUUGUAAACCGCUUUCGCCUGUGACGAAGCGUGAGUGACGGUAAUGGGUAAAGAAGCACCGGCUAACUACGUG